Molecule: transfer RNA, 85 nt
Filed under: Candidatus Bacteroides merdavium
Lineage: Bacteria; Pseudomonadati; Bacteroidota; Bacteroidia; Bacteroidales; Bacteroidaceae
Description: tRNA-Ser
Rfam family: tRNA
About the family: Transfer RNA (tRNA) molecules are approximately 80 nucleotides in length.
Source: RNAcentral
GGAGAGGUGGCAGAGUGGUCGAUUGCGGCGGUCUUGAAAACCGUUGUGCUGAAAGGCACCCGGGGUUCGAAUCCCUGUCUCUCCG